This 253-nucleotide ribosomal RNA is filed under the name uncultured bacterium. Its description in RNAcentral is "partial 16S ribosomal RNA". It matches the Rfam family "Bacterial small subunit ribosomal RNA", at positions 524 to 776 of the family's 1533-position model. The record is from RNAcentral.
GACGUAGGGUGCGAGCGUUGCUCGGAAUCACUGGGCGUAAAGCGCACGUAGGCGGAUUGUUAAGUCAGGGGUGAAAUCCUGGAGCUCAACUCCAGAACUGCCUUUGAUACUGGCACUCUCGAGUCCGGGAGAGGUGAGUGGAACUGCGAGUGUAGAGGUGAAAUUCGUAGAUAUUCGCAAGAACACCAGUGGCGAAGGCGGCUCACUGGCCCGGUACUGACGCUGAGGUGCGAAAGCGUGGGGAGCGAACAGG